This 810-nucleotide ribosomal RNA is filed under the name Suillus sp. RT-2012. RNAcentral describes it as "eukaryotic LSU rRNA". The stretch from base 236 to 390 matches the Rfam family "5.8S ribosomal RNA". Lineage: Eukaryota; Fungi; Basidiomycota; Agaricomycetes; Boletales; Suillaceae. The record is from RNAcentral.
GUAGGUGAACCUGCGGAAGGAUCAUUAAAGAAAUNAUCUCGAGGGCCGAUGGAAAGGAGAGAGGGUUGUAGCUGGCGUAAGCACGUGCACGCCCUCUUUCUCGACCUAGGUCCUUAUGGGCGCGGGGCGACCCGCGUCUUCAUAAGCCCCUUCGUGUAGAAAGUCUAUGAAUGUUUUUANCAUCAUCGACUCGCGACUUCUAGGAGACGCGAUUCUUUGAGACAAAAGUUAUUACAACUUUCAGCAAUGGAUCUCUUGGCUCUCGCAUCGAUGAAGAACGCAGCGAAUCGCGAUAUGUAAUGUGAAUUGCAGAUCUACAGUGAAUCAUCGAAUCUUUGAACGCACCUUGCGCUUAUCGGUGUUCCGAUGAGCAUGCCUGUUUGAGCGUCAUUAAAUUCUCAACCCCUCUCGAUUUGCUUCGAGAGGGUGCUUGGAUAGUGGAGGCUGCCGGAGACCUGUUUUUUCAGGACUCGGGCUCCUCUGAAAUGUAUUGGCUUGCGGUCGACUUUCGACUGUGCAUGACAAGGCCUUGNNNUGGNGUGAUAAUGAUCGCCGCUCGCCGAAGUGCACGAACGAAUGGUCUCGUGCCCCUAAUCAGUCGAUGUCUUUUCGAAGGCGUCUUCCUUAUUGACGUUUGACCUCAAAUCAGGUAGGACUACCCGCUGAACUUAAGCAUAUCAAUAAGCGGAGGAAAAGAAACUAACAAGGAUUCCCCUAGUAACUGCGAGUGAACCGGGAAAAGCUCAAAUUUUGAAUCUGGCGGUCCUUCGGGCCGUCCGAGUUGUAAUCUAGAGAAGCGUCUUCCGCGCU